RNAcentral lists this ribosomal RNA (266 nucleotides) under uncultured bacterium. Its description in RNAcentral is "partial 16S ribosomal RNA". It matches the Rfam family "Bacterial small subunit ribosomal RNA", at positions 89 to 353 of the family's 1533-position model. The record is from RNAcentral.
UACCGAGUGGCGGACGGGUGAGUAACGCGUGGGUAACCUGCCUCAUACAGGGGGAUAACGGUUAGAAAUGACUGCUAAUACCGCAUAAGCGCACAGUACCGCAUGGUACGGUGUGAAAAACUCCGGUGGUAUGAGAUGGACCCGCGUCUGAUUAGCUAGUUGGUGAGGUAACGGCCCACCAAGGCGACGAUCAGUAGCCGGCCUGAGAGGGUGAACGGCCACAUUGGGACUGAGACACGGCCCAAACUCCUACGGGAGGCAGCAUG